This 3803-nucleotide unclassified non-coding RNA is filed under the name Hevea brasiliensis (rubber tree). Lineage: Eukaryota; Viridiplantae; Streptophyta; Magnoliopsida; Malpighiales; Euphorbiaceae. The record is from RNAcentral.
CGUAUUUAUACAACUAGUCGCGGGGACGGAGGGUGGGCACGUGAGCUUAUGCACGUGCUUGACCACUCUGACAUACAUUAAAAGGAAAAAAAAUAUAAAUAAUAUCUGUUGCUACUUGCUAGAGAAAUGUAUUGGGCAGGGCCGCGUGGAGAGUGAACUGGGCUUCCUUGCCAGUCGAGCUCUUCGACGCGAGCUUCUUCCUUCGUACCGCACUUACAAGCGUCGGGAUUUGAAGUCUUGAACACAAGGUUUUGUGGAUAUAUGUUUAGGAAUGUCCUUCUUGUGCUGUAAGGUUGUUUCGGUUUCACAUGGCACUGUCACUAUCAGCUGUGCAGUGUAGUAGUGGGAAACAAUUGAGAAGUCGAAUUUUCUUCAAAUUUGGAAGAGGACGUCGAAAUGCUUUGAGUUGUAGAAUGAGGUUCACUAAUUUCCUCUUGAACAUAUCAAGACUGUGUUCUCGAUCCAAGCAUAAGUUUUCAGAAAAGCUGCUGGAUGAAGUAAAUAAGUAUAAUGUUCCAAGCAUAUCUGAUCAAUCAAAGUUUCUUAGUAAGGUAUCUGUGCUGAUGGAGUAUGAUGGUUUUAAUGAGUUAAUUGAGAAUGAAAAAGCAGAAAAGCAAUCUGUUUCAGAUGUCAAUGAUGCUGUAGAUGAUUUUGAUGUCUCCUUGACACGUAAAAGAUUUCCUUCUAUUGUUUUGGGUAAUUCUCCUCCUGUAGAAUUAUAUGAUGAGACUACACAGCACUUUGAAAUGAAGAGCCCUAUACCAGCUGAAAGUUAUAAAGAAUUUCCCUCAGAUGCUGUGGGUGAGAAAUGGGUUGAUCUAGAUGACCUUUCUGAGCCUUGGCCAUCUUCAGGCACCCUUCCAACUGAGAACUGUUCCAUAUCAAAAGAACAAGGCAAUGGUAAUGCAAGCAUGAUUAGUGAAUCCAGAGAUGAAAAAACACAUAUCUUAAAAGAAUUAAAAGAGGAAAAUGCAUACGGUUUGCCAUUAUAUUCUGAGGACAUGACUUUGGAAACACAAGAAAAAUUGGAUUAUAAAGUAAGCAUGGAGGAAUAUUCUAACAAAGUGGUGCCUGAAUCGCAGCUAAGUGCUACAUAUCUUGAUACAUCUAUCAGUUGCAUUCCUGGAUUAAGUAAGAGACAAUGCCAUCAGCUAGAAAAUUGUGGUUUUCACACGUUACGGAAACUGCUGAAUCAUUUCCCUCGAACCUAUGCUGAUUUGCAAAAUGCACAAGUUGGAAUUGAUGAUGGCCAGUACUUGAUUUCUGUUGGGAGAAUUUUAUCUUCUAGGGGAGUUAGAGCUAGUUAUUCUUUUUCAUUUCUUGAGGUGGUUGUGAGUUGUGAGGUUGCGGGUGAUGAAUCUAAGCGUUCCAUUGAGGACAUUGAUAGUGCAGGAAAGAAAACCAUUUAUUUGCAUCUCAAGCAAUUUUUCCGCGGCACUCGUUUCACUAGUCAACCUUUUCUCAAAAUUCUUCAAAACAAGCAUAAACCAGGAGACAUUGUUUGCGUUAGUGGUAAGGUUAAGAGCAUGAGUACCAACGAUCACUAUGAAAUGAGGGAAUAUAAUAUUGAUGUGCUAAAAGAUGAUGAAGAUUCAUCUCUUUGUCCUGAAGGGAGGCCAUAUCCUAUAUACCCUUCAAAAGGAGGCUUAAAGCCUAAUUUUCUUAGGAACACUAUUGCAAGAGCUGUACAAGCCUUGGCUCUCAUUGUCGAUCCUAUUCCAAAAGAAAUCACUCAGGAAUUUGGGCUCUUUCAUCUUCAUGAUGCUUAUGUUGGAAUUCACCAACCAAAGAAUGCUGAGGAGGCUGAUUUAGCUCGUAGAAGACUUAUAUUUGAUGAGUUCUUUUACCUACAGUUGGGACGCUUAUUCCAAAUGCUUGAAGGUCUUGGUACACAAAUGGAGAAAGACAGAUUACUUGACAAGUACAGAAAACCUGAAUUAAAUGCCAUUUGUAUGGAAAAUUGGUCCAGUCUCACGAAGAAACUCUUGAAGGCUCUUCCAUAUUCCCUUACUUCUAGUCAGCUAAGUGCUGUUUCAGAGAUUAUAUGGGAUCUAAAACGACCUGUUCCUAUGAAUCGACUUUUGCAGGGUGAUGUUGGAUGUGGGAAAACAGUGGUUGCUUUUUUGGCAUGUAUGGAAGUUGUUGGCUCUGGUUAUCAGGCUGCUUUCAUGGUUCCAACUGAAUUGCUUGCGGUGCAACAUUAUGAGCACUUGCUUAAUUUGCUAGAGGCAAUGGAGGAUGACCAAUCCAAACCUUCAAUUGCUCUACUAACAGGUUCAACACCAUUAAAACAGUCACGGAUGAUUCGUAAGGAUCUCCAAGCGGGAGAAAUUUCCUUGGUCAUUGGAACCCACAGUUUAAUAUCUGAAAAUGUAGAAUUCUCUGCUUUGCGUAUAGCUGUGGUGGAUGAGCAACAUCGCUUUGGUGUGAUCCAGAGAGGAAGGUUUAAUAGUAAGUUAUAUUAUAGCUCUUUAAGUUCAAGAAUAGCAGCAACCAGUUCUGAUGGGUCCUCAAAGAGCGAUGGCUAUAUGGCCCCACACGUUCUUGCUAUGUCAGCCACUCCCAUCCCAAGGACACUUGCUUUGGCCUUGUAUGGGGACAUGUUCCUAACACAAAUAACUGACUUGCCUCCUGGAAGAAUUCCAGUUGAAACAUGCAUUAUUAUAGGAAAUAGCCAGGGCUUUGAGGAUGCCUACAAGAUGAUGCUAGAUGAAUUAGAAGCAGGGGGAAGAGUGUAUCUUGUUUAUCCAGUCAUUGAACAAUCUGAGCAACUGCCUCAGCUUCGUGCUGCUUCUGCUGAUCUAGAAGCUAUAUCAGAGAGGUUUCAAGGUUACAACUGUGGGUUGUUACAUGGUAGAAUGAAGAGUGAUGAAAAAGAUGAAGCACUAAGACGAUUUAGAUCUGGGGAAACUCACAUACUCCUUUCCACUCAAGUAAUUGAGGUUGGUGUUGAUGUUCCAGAUGCCACCAUGAUGGUUGUUAUGAAUGCUGAGAGAUUUGGAAUGGCUCAAUUGCACCAACUCAGAGGACGAGUUGGACGUGGAGCGAGGAAGUCGAAAUGUGUAUUGCUAGCAUCAACAAUCAGUAGCCUUAACCGAUUAAAGGUGCUGGAGAAGUCAUCAGAUGGUUUCUACUUGGCAAAUGCUGAUCUUCUUUUACGUGGACCUGGUGAUUUGCUUGGUAAAAAGCAAUCCGGACACCUUCCAGAGUUUCCUGUUGCAAGGUUGGAGAUAGAUGGGAAUAUUUUGCAAGAAGCACAUGCUGCUGCUCUGAAAGUUCUAGGUGAUUCUCAUGAUUUGGAGCGAUUUCCAGCAUUGAAGGCAGAGCUUAGCAUGAGGCAACCACUUUGUCUUCUCGGAGAUUGAGAUAGAGCUAUGAAUCCUGAAUUCAUGUGCAAGACAAUGCCUGCUGUUGCAUAAAGGGAUAAUCAGGCUUUUGCAAUCCCCCUAAAAUCUUGGUCAAUUUUGUAUACUCUCUUUUGGUGGAAAAAACUGAUGAUUUUAAUUUAGGCAAUUAUAUUUCAUUACUUCCAUGUAAAUGUUAUGGUGAUAGUUUCUAGUCCCUCCUUGUAUUUCUAAUAGGAAACUACCUUAGUUUCAGUUCAACAACUACAGCAGUAAUGGUUUCACAUGAGCUGCUUUUAGAUUUAUAAUUUGGUUCGAAUAUGACUAUGCUUUGUGACACGAGCAUAGUUGUAUUUGUUGGAAAUCUAAGUCUUAUGUCGAGUAAAUAAGAAUGAAAUGAUAAAUAUACGUGGUUAGGUUGUAACAUUAAAUUUAUUAAUUAUUUUGAUAUAAAAGCAA